Gymnothorax javanicus (giant moray) is the source of this 73-nucleotide non-coding RNA. The record is from the annotation of a GenBank genome assembly. NCBI's taxonomy places the organism in Eukaryota, Metazoa, Chordata, Actinopteri, Anguilliformes, Muraenidae.
GGUAUAGUGGUGCAGUGGGUAGCACUGCUGCCUAACAGCUAGAAGGUUGCGGGUUUGAAUCUGGCCUGGGGCC